CUGCAGCCAGUUAAGCCGACGGCCCCCCUCUCCCUAUGGGGGCCUGGUGUGCAGUGGCUGUGGACAGCAGCCUCCUAGGGGCCUGUUGCCUGUACAGGUUGCCCUAAGGGACCUUGGAGACAGCC
This 125-nucleotide small nucleolar RNA is filed under the name Dasypus novemcinctus (nine-banded armadillo). RNAcentral describes it as "Small nucleolar RNA SNORA70 (ENSDNOG00000028001.1)". It matches the Rfam family "Small nucleolar RNA SNORA70". Rfam says of the family: snoRNA U70 seems to be exclusive to mammals and is a member of the H/ACA class of snoRNA which contain H (ANANNA) and ACA box motifs. H/ACA box snoRNAs are involved in the conversion of uridines to pseudouridines (5-ribosyluracil) a constituent of structural RNAs (transfer, ribosomal, small nuclear, and small nucleolar). Lineage: Eukaryota; Metazoa; Chordata; Mammalia; Cingulata; Dasypodidae. The record is from RNAcentral.